Molecule: transfer RNA, 65 nt
Filed under: Clytra espanoli
Lineage: Eukaryota; Metazoa; Arthropoda; Insecta; Coleoptera; Chrysomelidae
Description: tRNA-Ala
Source: RNAcentral
GGGGUAAUAGUUAAUAAUAACAUUUAAUUUGCACUUAAAAAGUAUUGCCAAAGCAAUUUACCUUG